CACAUAUUUUACAUAUAUAUAUAUAUGUGUGUGUGUGUGUGUGUGUGUGUGUGUAUACACAUAUAACACAAACAUAUAUAUGUAAAAAAUAUAUAU
RNAcentral lists this microRNA precursor (96 nucleotides) under Ovis aries (sheep). RNAcentral's name for it is "miRNA (ENSOARG00000024265.1)". Lineage: Eukaryota; Metazoa; Chordata; Mammalia; Artiodactyla; Bovidae. The record is from RNAcentral.